This is a long non-coding RNA of Ictalurus punctatus (channel catfish), 2216 nucleotides long. The record is from Ensembl. Lineage: Eukaryota; Metazoa; Chordata; Actinopteri; Siluriformes; Ictaluridae.
CACGAGCUACGUGCACGAGUGCUCAGAGCGCAUGCUCUUCGGAUGUUGACAACCGUGACAUUGUUUACUGUGGACACGCACGUUUGUUUUGUUUCUGUUCUGUCUCCUCCCUGUUCUGUCAUUGGUUGUUGUUCGAGGGUGUGGCUUUAUUGUUUUCAGCUGCCAGCGCUUAGCUGAUUAUAUUCGGAAUAUAUACCGCUCACGAACCUGUACACCUCGUGCAGUAUUCUGUCACGUCGUGAGAGCUAAGGGAGUAGCGCAUGGAAGCAGAAUGGUCAGCUGAAGGCGAGGAGGAGGUCCACGAGUGGCGUGAGAGGAUCCCCUGAAACGAAUUCUCUUAUCUGCUUCAGAGCCAAGGAGGUCAUGAAGACUCCUCCUCGCACCCCUCAGUGUUGGUGUGUUUGGUCUCCGUAUCCUUGUAAAGCACUUGCUGGAGAAUCUGCUGUUUUCGGGCCACACCUCCAUAAAGCAGAAGAUGGCCGCUUUCCAGUGCGUGAUGGAGACUGAGAAUGCGGAACGAUCUGUCUCUCCUGGGAAGCAAGAGGAGGGAGUGAGACGCAUUCAGUCUGAUCGCCUUCCCCACAUGGAUGAGGAGUAUGAUGAUCCACAGCUGGACAGUAAAGGCGAUGUGCCUCGACAGACUCAUCUGAACUCUGUGAGCUCACAGCACAUCAUCGGCCACUCGUUAAAGACCCUGAAAUCACGGACGCCGCUUUUCAAGAAGAUGAAACCUUCGGCCAGGACGUCCACGUUCCUGCAGUGUCUCAGGCUGCAUCUCACCAAGCCGCGACUCUUCUCUAUGGGCUUCAGGACGUCUUUGAUGCAGGAGAGGUCUGGCUGCUGCCAGGGCUCGUGGCUUUCUAAGGGGGCUGAAGAUGGAUUUGACUUCUCCUCUACUUGACGGCCUGAACUCGCUCACGUCCUCGUUGUUCUUCUCCUCUCUCGCUUCCCGAAGAUUCCAGUGUCCUCACAUGUCUUCUCUAAUCCUCUUUUGUUCGUCUAACUGUUCCUCUUCCUCUGCCACAGAUCUAUUUCUCGCCCUAGCGCUCUUCCAUCCUCUGAGUUUCCGGUUCUGGUUUUGUGGACUGUUCUCCUGAUGGAUUCUCCUGUUCAGGUGUUGAUUUUGGUUUCAAUAACAGCAGCUCUGACAGUAGUGCAGCUGCAAAUGACCGGUUUGGAUUAACAUGCUCGUUCUAAUGUUACCGUUUCUAGUUACAGCUCGGGAUAAGGCAAAGAAGGAAGUGAGGGUGGUUAAUUUAAAAAAAAAAAAAAAAAAAAAAAAAAAAUUCCCAUUUUAGCUAUAUUCUAGACUUAAUUUUUGCAGGAUCAUUCAGAUGCGUUAUGGCAUGUAUUCUGUUAAGUGUGCUCCUGCCUGUAGUGGUUGUCAGGGUGUUGCUCAGGCUGGAGACUUCGUACUCCAAGAUGGGGCUGAGAAGAGGGUUUUUGGAGAUGUAGUGUCAUGCCAUAGAGCAAGCGGUCCACCUCUUUAGUCCAGAAUCUGUUCGUAAACCUUUGCUGGUGUGAGCCCCUUGUGCAGUGAUAAAUUUCAGCGACACGCGGUUCCUUCCCUGCGACCAUCUCCAAAUCAGCCCCCCUGAAAAUCCAUUUUAAUUCCAGGUUAUAAUGUGGCAAAAUAGGAAACACACCAAGGGGUGAAUACUUUCUCAAGGCACUGCAUCUAAAUUUUAAAAAACAAGAACUCAUUUUUUUUUUUUUUUUUUUUUUUAAAGUACCAUAUGUUUAUAUGGAAAAUGAAAACGUAACUGUACAGUUUCGUAAGGAAGGAAGACGUACAGCGCUGUAUGAACACGUGACGGCGCUCAUUUCCUCUGUGAUCCAGAGCUCAUAAAACACAGUGCAGAACGAGGAAACGAGAGGAAUUAAAAGCGCACAGGAAGUCCGCGUACCUUCAUUUUGCCCUGGGUGGACUGGGCGGCAGAGCGAGAGCUCCUUCUGGUCUCCGUGGUCUCGCUCUGCGCCGGUUGCUGAAACGCACAGGCACGUUGCGUGCAUGAGAAACUUCUUAUGGUCGGUUUUAAAUCUUUAUUUGCAUUUGUUUUAAUUAAAAGAUUUGACUUAUCUGUAUAGUCAUGUUAACAGUACACACUGUCCCAUUUAUUAUAAGUUCAAUAUCUUACACCAAAUCAUCAGUGUCCAGUCAGUCUGUAAUUAUAAAAAAAAAAAGUUAAUUUAUUUUAUUUUAUUAUUAUUUUUUU